AUUGAACGAGGGAGGAAGGAAGAACACAUGCGAGUCGAACGGUAACAGGAAGCAGCUUGCUGCUUCGCUGACGAGUGGCGGACGGGUGAGUAAUGUCUGGGAAACUGCCUGAUGGAGGGGGAUAACUACUGGAAACGGUAGCUAAUACCGCAUAAUGUCGCAAGACCAAAGAGGGGGACCUUCGGGCCUCUUGCCAUCGGAUGUGCCCAGAUGGGAUUAGCUUGUUGGUGGGGUAACGGCUCACCAAGGCGACGAUCCCUAGCUGGUCUGAGAGGAUGACAAGCCACACUGGAACUGAGACACGGUCCAGACUCCUACGGGAGGCAGCAGUGGGGAAUAUUGCACAAUGGGCGCAAGCCUGAUGCAGCCAUGCCGCGUGUAUGAAGAAGGCCUUCGGGUUGUAAUGUUUUGUCAGCGCGGAGGAAGGGAGUAAAGUUAAUACCUUUGCUCAUUGACGUUACCCGCAGAAGAAGCACCGGCUCCUUCCGUC
Molecule: ribosomal RNA, 490 nt
Filed under: uncultured bacterium
Lineage: Bacteria
Description: partial 16S ribosomal RNA
Rfam family: Bacterial small subunit ribosomal RNA
Source: RNAcentral